RNAcentral lists this ribosomal RNA (92 nucleotides) under Veillonella sp. RNAcentral also lists the same sequence under 1 other name. Lineage: Bacteria; Bacillati; Bacillota; Negativicutes; Veillonellales; Veillonellaceae. The record is from RNAcentral.
CACCUGUUCCCAUCUCGAACACAGUAGUUAAGCUCAUAAACGCCGAAAGUACUUGGCUGGAGACGGCCUGGGAGGAUAGGAAGCCGCUGAUU